RNAcentral lists this long non-coding RNA (276 nucleotides) under Rattus norvegicus (Norway rat). RNAcentral's name for it is "long non-coding RNA NONRATT031667". Lineage: Eukaryota; Metazoa; Chordata; Mammalia; Rodentia; Muridae. The record is from RNAcentral.
GUGGACUGAGACACCCAGAAACUGUGAGCUCAAGUCACACAGUUUUCUGUUUUGUUACAGUAAUGCAAAAUGAACACACACCCCUUAGACUCCUACAAGAGCAUCCAGUUGUCCUCGUCAAGGUGCAGUUGAAACAGCAUCAGGAAUGUGUUGUCCGGUUGACUCAGAAGCCCCAGGAUGACUGUGAGACCAAAGGGUGGAGGCUCAGCAGAGAGCACAGAGGAAGAUACAUCUAUAUGCUACUUGCUGCUUAGAUUUCCAGAGAGCAAACAGCGA